AAGACUAUAGACCUGCGGAGUACCUGCGGAAGGAUCAUUAAAAAAAGUUUUUGCCUGCGGACUUUUGUCCAAGGCGCAAAAAACCCACACCGUGUGCACCGUUAUCGUUUCUUUGGCAGGGGUUUGAGACGAUUGGUUUUUUUUCCUUUCUCUCAACUUCUCCUCUGGCUCUAUCCUUCGUUAAUUUUUUUUUUUUCGUCGGACAGCCGGACAUGGGAAGCAGUUUUUUUUAACUACCCC
RNAcentral lists this unclassified non-coding RNA (240 nucleotides) under soil metagenome. Its description in RNAcentral is "partial contains 5.8S ribosomal RNA, internal transcribed spacer 2, and large subunit ribosomal RNA". The record is from RNAcentral.